ACAUGCGAUCAUAUCAGCACUAAUGCACCAGAUUCCAUCAGAACUCCACAGUUAAGGGUGCUUGGGCAAGAGUAGUACUAGGAUGGAUUACCUCCCGGAAAGUCUUCGUGUUGCAUCCC
This 119-nucleotide ribosomal RNA is filed under the name Arabidopsis thaliana (thale cress). Lineage: Eukaryota; Viridiplantae; Streptophyta; Magnoliopsida; Brassicales; Brassicaceae. The record is from RNAcentral.